UACGUAGGGUGCGAGCGUUGUCCGGAAUUAUUGGGCGUAAAGGGCUCGUAGGCGGUCUGUUGCGUCAGGAGUGAAAACUCGGGGCUUAACCCCGAGCCUGCUUCUGAUACGGGCAGACUAGAGGUAUGCAGGGGAGAACGGAAUUCCUGGUGUAGCGGUGAAAUGCGUAGAUAUUGGAAAGAACACCGAUGGCGAAGGCACUCUACUGGGCUAUUACUGACACUCAGAGACGAAAGCUAGGGGAGCAAAUGGG
This 253-nucleotide ribosomal RNA is filed under the name uncultured bacterium. RNAcentral's name for it is "partial 16S ribosomal RNA". It matches the Rfam family "Bacterial small subunit ribosomal RNA", at positions 524 to 776 of the family's 1533-position model. The record is from RNAcentral.